RNAcentral lists this ribosomal RNA (1253 nucleotides) under Staphylococcus aureus. Its description in RNAcentral is "bacterial SSU rRNA". It matches the Rfam family "Bacterial small subunit ribosomal RNA", at positions 269 to 1513 of the family's 1533-position model. Lineage: Bacteria; Bacillati; Bacillota; Bacilli; Caryophanales; Staphylococcaceae. The record is from RNAcentral.
GGACGUUCCAAGAGGUAUCGCCUGAGGGGAUUGGCCCCCGGAUGAGACCCGUCGAACUUCCUUCGAGGCACCGUAGGGAAUUUUCCAUGGGGAAAGCCUGACGGGAGCAAACCCCCCGCUGAGUGAUAAAGGUUUUUCCGGAUCGGUAAAAAUUUUGUUUUUUAGGGAAGGAACAAUAUGNGUUAGGUAACUGUGCCCCAUCCUUGCCGGUACCUUAAUCAGAAAAGCCACGGGCUAACUACGUGCCAGCAAGCCGCGGUAAUACGUAGGUGGCAAGCGUUAUCCGGAAUUAUUGGGCGUAAAGCGCGCGUAGGCGGUUUUUUAAGUCUGAUGUGAAAGCCCACGGCUCAACCGUGGAGGGUCAUUGGAAACUGGAAAACUUGAGUGCAGAAGAGGAAAGUGGAAUUCCAUGUGUAGCGGUGAAAUGCGCAGAGAUAUGGAGGAACACCAGUGGCGAAGGCGACUUUCUGGUCUGUAACUGACGCUGAUGUGCGAAAGCGUGGGGAUCAAACAGGAUUAGAUACCCUGGUAGUCCACGCCGUAAACGAUGAGUGCUAAGUGUUAGGGGGUUUCCGCCCCUUAGUGCUGCAGCUAACGCAUUAAGCACUCCGCCUGGGGAGUACGACCGCAAGGUUGAAACUCAAAGGAAUUGACGGGGACCCGCACAAGCGGUGGAGCAUGUGGUUUAAUUCGAAGCAACGCGAAGAACCUUACCAAAUCUUGACAUCCUUUGACAACUCUAGAGAUAGAGCUUUCCCCUUCGGGGGACAAAGUGACAGGUGGUGCAUGGUUGUCGUCAGCUCGUGUCGUGAGAUGUUGGGUUAAGUCCCGCAACGAGCGCAACCCUUAAGCUUAGUUGCCAUCAUUAAGUUGGGCACUCUAAGUUGACUGCCGGUGACAAACCGGAGGAAGGUGGGGAUGACGUCAAAUCAUCAUGCCCCUUAUGAUUUGGGCUACACACGUGCUACAAUGGACAAUACAAAGGGCAGCGAAACCGCGAGGUCAAGCAAAUCCCAUAAAGUUGUUCUCAGUUCGGAUUGUAGUCUGCAACUCGACUACAUGAAGCUGGAAUCGCUAGUAAUCGUAGAUCAGCAUGCUACGGUGAAUACGUUCCCGGGUCUUGUACACACCGCCCGUCACACCACGAGAGUUUGUAACACCCGAAGCCGGUGGAGUAACCUUUUAGGAGCUAGCCGUCGAAGGUGGGACAAAUGAUUGGGGUGAAGUCGUAACAAGUAGCCGUAUCGAAAGUC